AGUGAACGCUGGCGGUAGGCCUAACACAUGCAAGUCGAACGGCAGCACAGUAGGAGCUUGCUCUUACGGGUGGCGAGUGGCGGACGGGUGAGGAAUACAUCGGAAUCUACUUUUUCGUGGGGGAUAACGUAGGGAAACUUACGCUAAUACCGCAUACGACCUACGGGUGAAAGCAGGGGAUCUUCGGACCUUGCGCGAUUGAAUGAGCCGAUGUCGGAUUAGCUAGUUGGCGGGGUAAAGGCCCACCAAGGCGACGAUCCGUAGCUGGUCUGAGAGGAUGAUCAGCCACACUGGAACUGAGACACGGUCCAGACUCCUACGGGAGGCAGCAGUGGGGAAUAUUGGACAAUGGGCGCAAGCCUGAUCCAGCCAUACCGCGUGGGUGAAGAAGGCCUUCGGGUUGUAAAGCCCUUUUGUUGGGAAAGAAAAGCAGCGGGUUAAUACCCCGCUGUUCUGACGGUACCUAAAGAAUAAGCACCGGCUAACUUCGUG
Molecule: ribosomal RNA, 492 nt
Filed under: uncultured bacterium
Lineage: Bacteria
Description: partial 16S ribosomal RNA
Rfam family: Bacterial small subunit ribosomal RNA
Source: RNAcentral